GGAAGGCCCUUCGGGGUACUCGAGCGGCGAACGGGUGAGUAACACGUGAGCAACCUGCCCUAGGCUUUGGGAUAACCCUCGGAAACGGGGGCUAAUACCGAAUAUGACCUGGCCUCGCAUGAGGCUUGGUGGAAAGUUUUUCGGCCUGGGAUGGGCUCGCGGCCUAUCAGCUUGUUGGUGGGGUGAUGGCCUACCAAGGCGACGACGGGUAGCCGGCCUGAGAGGGCGACCGGCCACACUGGGACUGAGACACGGCCCAGACUCCUACGGGAGGCAGCAGUGGGGAAUAUUGCACAAUGGGCGGAAGCCUGAUGCAGCGACGCCGCGUGAGGGAUGACGGCCUUCGGGUUGUAAACCUCUUUCAGCAGGGACGAAGCGUAAGUGACGGUACCUGCAGAAGAAGCGCCGGCCAACUACGUGCCAGCAGCCGCGGUAAGACGUAGGGCGCGAGCGUUGUCCGGAUUUAUUGGGCGUAAAGAGCUCGUAGGCGGCUUGUCGCGUCGACCGUGAAAACUUGGGGCUCAACCCCAAGCCUGCGGUCGAUACGGGCAGGCUAGAGUUCGGUAGGGGAGACUGGAAUUCCUGGUGUAGCGGUGAAAUGCGCAGAUAUCAGGAGGAACACCGGUGGCGAAGGCGGGUCUCUGGGCCGAUACUGACGCUGAGGAGCGAA
This 670-nucleotide ribosomal RNA is filed under the name Micromonospora sp. 526. RNAcentral describes it as "bacterial SSU rRNA". It matches the Rfam family "Bacterial small subunit ribosomal RNA", at positions 68 to 757 of the family's 1533-position model. Lineage: Bacteria; Bacillati; Actinomycetota; Actinomycetes; Micromonosporales; Micromonosporaceae. The record is from RNAcentral.